CCUACGGGAGGCAGCAGUGAGGAAUAUUGGUCAAUGGGCGCGAGCCUGAACCAGCCAAGUAGCGUGAAGGAUGACUGCUCUACGGGUUGUAAACUUCUUUUGUAAAGGAAUACAGUGAGGCACGUGUGCCUUUUUGUAUGUCCUUUAUUAAUCAGGAUCGGCUAAUUACGUGCCAGCAGCCGCGGUAAUACGGAGGAUCCGAGCGUUGUCCGGCUUUAUUGGGUUUAAAGGGAGCGUAUAUGGGUUGUUAAGUCAGUUGUGAAAGUUUGGGGCUCAACCGUCAAAUUGCAAUUAAUACUGGCAGUCUUGAGUACAGUAGAGGUAGGCGGAAUUCGUGGUGUAGCGGUGAAAUGCUUAGAUAUCACGAAGAACUCCGAUUGCGAAGGCAGCUUACUAAACGGCCACUGACAUUGAUGCUCGAAAGUGUGGGUAUCAAACAGGAUUAGAUACCCGAGUAGUC
RNAcentral lists this ribosomal RNA (460 nucleotides) under uncultured bacterium. Its description in RNAcentral is "partial 16S ribosomal RNA". It matches the Rfam family "Bacterial small subunit ribosomal RNA", at positions 338 to 795 of the family's 1533-position model. The record is from RNAcentral.